ACUCCUACGGGAGGCAGCAGUAGGGAAUCUUCCACAAUGGGCGCAAGCCUGAUGGAGCAACACCGCGUAAGUGAAGAAGGGUUUCGGCUCGUAAAGCUCUGUUGUUAAAGAAGAACACGUAUGAGAGUAACUGUUCAUACGUUGACGGUAUUUAACCAGAAAGUCACGGCUAACUACGUGCCAGCAGCCGCGGUAAUACGUAGGUGGCAAGCGUUAUCCGGAUUUAUUGGGGCGUAAAGAGAGUGCAGGCGGUUUUCUAAGUCUGAUGUGAAAGCCUUCGGCUUAACCGGAGAAGUGCAUCGGAAACUGGAUAACUUGAGUGCAGAAGAGGGUAGUGGAACUCCAUGUGUAGCGGUGGAAUGCGUAGAUAUAUGGAAGAACACCAGUGGCGAAGGCGGCUACCUGGUCUGCAACUGACGCUGAGACUCGAAAGCAUGGGUAGCGAACAGGAUUAGAUACCCUGGUAGGAUAGCG
Molecule: ribosomal RNA, 474 nt
Filed under: uncultured bacterium
Lineage: Bacteria
Description: bacterial SSU rRNA
Rfam family: Bacterial small subunit ribosomal RNA
Source: RNAcentral